This 503-nucleotide ribosomal RNA is filed under the name uncultured bacterium. RNAcentral's name for it is "partial 16S ribosomal RNA". It matches the Rfam family "Bacterial small subunit ribosomal RNA", at positions 30 to 523 of the family's 1533-position model. The record is from RNAcentral.
AUUGAACGCUGGCGGCAGGCUUAACACAUGCAAGUCGAGCGGGGGAGGUUGCUUCGGUAACUGACCUAGCGGCGGACGGGUGAGUAAUACUGAGGAAUCUGCCUAUUAAUGGGGGACAACAUCUCGAAAGGGAUGCUAAUACCGCAUACGCCCUACGGGGGAACGCAGGGGAUCACUUGUGACCUUGCGUUAAUAGAUGAGCCUAGGUCGGAUUAGCUAGUUGGUGGGGUAAAGGCCUACCAAGGCGACGAUCUGUAGCGGGUCUGAGAGGAUGAUCCGCCACACUGGGACUGAGACACGGCCCAGACUCCUACGGGAGGCAGCAGUGGGGAAUAUUGGACAAUGGGGGGAACCCUGAUCCAGCCAUGCCGCGUGUGUGAAGAAGGCCUUAUGGUUGUAAAGCACUUUAAGCGAGGAGGAGGCUCUUUUGGUUAAUACCCAAGAUGAGUGGACGUUACUCGCAGAAUAAGCACCGGCUAACUCUGUGCCAGCCGCCGCCGUAA